UUAAGUUCAGCGGGUAUCCCUACCUGAUCCGAGGUCAAUCGUGGUAAAAUUUGGUUGUUGUCCGGCCGGGACGACGCGGAUUCCUUGUAGCGAUGAUAUGAGUCACUGCGCUAGGAAAUCCGGCCGCACCGCCGCUGCAUUUCGGGAUUGCCCCCGGGGGGGCAGGCUCCCAAUACCAAGCUAGGCUUGAGGGGUGUAAA
Molecule: unclassified non-coding RNA, 200 nt
Filed under: Trullula sp.
Lineage: Eukaryota; Fungi; Ascomycota
Description: partial internal transcribed spacer 2
Source: RNAcentral